Long non-coding RNA from Mesocricetus auratus (golden hamster), 191 nucleotides. RefSeq lists it as uncharacterized. The transcript is spliced from 4 exons. NCBI's taxonomy places the organism in Eukaryota, Metazoa, Chordata, Mammalia, Rodentia, Cricetidae. The record is from RefSeq and is a predicted model, not a curated record.
CUCACUGGGCUCAAGCCUAGAGGACAGUGUGGAGGUGGAUAAAUAGUGGUACAGAGGAUCAUACUUUAGGAGUGCCUGAGUAUGGUUACAGGCAAACAAGCUCAACUCUGCCCCACAACAUAGGCAGCGACACCCAAUUCUACCCCACACCAUAGGCAGCCACGCCCAAUUCUACCCCACAAUAUAGGUAA